This is a long non-coding RNA of Saccostrea echinata, 1427 nucleotides long. RefSeq lists it as uncharacterized. NCBI's taxonomy places the organism in Eukaryota, Metazoa, Mollusca, Bivalvia, Ostreida, Ostreidae. The transcript has 3 exons. The record is from RefSeq and is a predicted model, not a curated record.
UGGAAAAUAAUUAAUCAGACUUAACAGUCAAAAAAUUACCUUUUCAUAAUUUAUCUUUUGUAGAAACAAAGAGUGGAGAGCUAAUGCAUGGUGCUAAGUAUGGAAAUGUCUCUUGUGGAUUGGUUGUGCCAGAGACAAAUGUACAUUAUUUCUAUGUUGGGUCAGAAGUCUCGGUACACUUUGGGUGAGUGGCAGUUGGGAAGAUGGAAGACCUUCAGAUAGUUUGAGAUGAAGAAGUUUUUUUAAAUGAUUGAAAGUGAUCAUCAUAGAAUCAACUCUAUUAUGAAGAUAAAUUACGAGCAAGUCAGCACUCCUUUUGUCCAACACCCAAGAAAUCUGAGUAUCCAUCCUACUGUUGAAUUAACUGGUGACCAAGAAAAGAUGACAGAGAGGGGAAUCAAAUAUGGAUGCCAUUGUGAUCAAACAUAUACACACAGACUAGAAAAUAUCUGAAAAUUUAUAGAUGAACAUUCAAGCAUUUAUAAUAAUGAAAGUUAUUCAGCAAGAGAGUUUUUGCACAAGUUUAAUUUCAGUAAAAUUGUGUAUAUUGUGCACAGAGGAACUUAGUAUGUAACUCAUUAUGAUUAUCCAUUUCUUUAGAGGAUGUAUUCGGAGUAUAUUUAAAUAAUCAUUAUCUUGUAGAAAAGAGCACACAAAAAUUUUCUCUCUGUGUGAAGCAAGACACAAAUGCAUACACUCAAGCAUUAACCACAACCACUGUUACAUAUUUUCCAGGGCAUGUGAAGUCGAGCACACACAACAUCUACCACAACACCAGUUACAUAUUUUCCAAGGCGUGUGAAGUCGAGCACAUACAUGAAAAUGUGUGAAGCUGGACACAUAUGCAAAAGCACAAGCAUCUACCACAACCAAUUACAUAUUUUCCAAGGCGUGUGAAGUCGAGCACAUACAUGAAAAUGUGUGAAGCUGGACACAUAUGCAAACAUACAAGCAUCUACCACAACCAAUUACAUAUUUUCCAAGGCGUGUGAAGUUGAGCACAUACAUGAAAAUGUGUGAAGCUGGACACAUAUGCAAACAUACAACAUCUACCACAACACCAGUUACAUAUCUUCCAAGGCGUGUGAAGUCGAGCACAUACAUGAAAAUGUGUGAAGCUGGACACAUAUGCCAACACACAAGCAUCUACCACAACCAAUUACAUAUUUUCCAAGGCGUGUGAAGUCGAGCACAUACAUGAAAAUGUGUGAAGCUGGACACAUAUGCCAACACACAAGCAUCUACCACAACCAAUUACAUAUUUUCCAAGGCGUGUGAAGUCGAGCACAUACAUGUACAUGAAAAUGUGUGAAGCUGGACACAAGCAUCUACCACAACCAAUUACAUAUUUUCCAAGGCGUGUGAAGUCGAGCACAUACAUGAAAAUGUGUGAAGCUGGACACAUAUGCAAACAUAACAACAUGUAC